This 232-nucleotide long non-coding RNA is filed under the name Manihot esculenta (cassava). RNAcentral's name for it is "long non-coding RNA (MESC_LNC008470)". The record is from RNAcentral. Lineage: Eukaryota; Viridiplantae; Streptophyta; Magnoliopsida; Malpighiales; Euphorbiaceae.
AUUGAUAUGACAAUGAGUAUGGGUGAAGAAUUAAAGAGAGAGAGAGAGAGAAAGUCCUGGUUUUGUGCCGGUAAUUAAGGGCCUUGGCUUGGGAUGUAUUGUUUUUGCAUUUUGCAAAUCCUGUAUUUGAAGUCAUUUUGGAUAGAGGAUUUUGAUUUGUUUGUGUAUUUUGAGUUUUUUGGUGUUUGUUUUGAUAUGGGUUUUUGAGGUAUUUAGUUUCUUUCACCUCUUU